GUGGAUUAGAUACCCUAGUAGUCCUGGCAGUAAACGGUGCGCGUUUGGUGUGGGAGGAUUCGACCCCUUCCGUGCCGGAGCUAACGCGUUAAACGCGCCGCCUGGGGAAUACGAUCGCAAGAUUAAAACUCAAAGAAAUUGACGGGGGCCCGCACAAGCGGUGGAGUAUGUGGCUUAAUUCGAUGCAACGCGAAGAACCUUACCUGGGCUUGACAUGCAUCUCUAAGUCGGUGAAAGCCGGCGACUGUAGCAAUACAGAAUUUGCACAGGUGCUGCAUGGCCGUCGUCAGCU
RNAcentral lists this ribosomal RNA (292 nucleotides) under uncultured bacterium. RNAcentral describes it as "partial 16S ribosomal RNA". It matches the Rfam family "Bacterial small subunit ribosomal RNA", at positions 773 to 1060 of the family's 1533-position model. The record is from RNAcentral.